CGCCAGCCUGACGGAGCCAGACCGCGUGGGGGAGGAAGGCCCUUGGGCUGUCAACCACUUUUCUCAGGGAAGAAGUCCUGACGGUACCUGAGGAAUCAGCCUCGGCUAACUCCGUGCCAGCAGCCGCGGUAAUACGGAGGAGGCAAGCGUUAUCCGGAAUUAUUGGGCGUAAAGCGUCCGCAGGGGGCACAUCAAGUCUGCUGUUAAAGGCUGGAGCUUAACUCCGGUAGAGCAGUGGAAACUGGUGUGCUAGAGGGCGGCAGGGGCAGAAGGAAUUCCCGGUGUAGCGGUGAAAUGCGUAGAUAUCGGGAAGAACACCAGAGGCGAAAGCGUUCUGCUGGGCCGCGCCUGACCCUGAGGGACGAAAGCCAGGGGAGCG
Molecule: ribosomal RNA, 379 nt
Filed under: uncultured cyanobacterium
Lineage: Bacteria; Bacillati; Cyanobacteriota
Description: bacterial SSU rRNA
Rfam family: Bacterial small subunit ribosomal RNA
Source: RNAcentral